This 490-nucleotide ribosomal RNA is filed under the name uncultured bacterium. Its description in RNAcentral is "partial 16S ribosomal RNA". It matches the Rfam family "Bacterial small subunit ribosomal RNA", at positions 30 to 507 of the family's 1533-position model. The record is from RNAcentral.
AUUGAACGCUGGCGGCAGGCCUAACACAUGCAAGUCGAACGGUAACAGGAAGCAGCUUGCUGCUUCGCUGACGAGUGGCGGACGGGUGAGUAAUGUCUGGGAAGCUGCCUGAUGGAGGGGGGUAACUACUGGAAACGGUAGCUAAUACCGCAUAAUGUCGCAAGACCAAAGAGGGGGACCUUCGGGCCUCUUGCCAUCGGAUGUGCCCAGAUGGGAUUAGCUUGUUGGUGGGGUAACGGCUCACCAAGGCGACGAUCCCUAGCUGGUCUGAGAGGAUGACCAGCCACACUGGAACUGAGACACGGUCCAGACUCCUACGGGAGGCAGCAGUGGGGAAUAUUGCACAAUGGGCGCAAGCCUGAUGCAGCCAUGCCGCGUGUAUGAAGAAGGCCUUCGGGUUGUAAAGUACUUUCAGCGGGGAGGAAGGGAGUAAAGUUAAUACCUUUGCUCAUUGACGUUACCCGCAGAAGAAGCACCGGCUAACUCCGUG